Molecule: ribosomal RNA, 468 nt
Filed under: uncultured bacterium
Lineage: Bacteria
Description: partial 16S ribosomal RNA
Rfam family: Bacterial small subunit ribosomal RNA
Source: RNAcentral
GACGAACGCUGGCGGCGUGCUUAACACAUGCAAGUCGAACGGAAAGGCCCUGCUUGUGUGGGGUGCUCGAGUGGCGAACGGGUGAGUAACACGUGAGUAACCUGCCCUUGACUUUGGGAUAACUUCAGGAAACUGGGGCUAAUACCGGAUAGGAGCUCCUGCUGCAUGGUGGGGGUGGGAAAGUUUAGGCGGUUGGGGAUGGACUCGCGGCUGAUGAGCUUGUUGGUGGGGUAGUGGCUUACCAAGGCUUGGACGGGUAGCCGGCCGGUGAGGGUGACCGGCCUCAAUGGGACUACGAUACGGACCAGACUCGUACGGGAGGCAGCAGUGGGGAAUAUUGCACAAUGGGCGGAAGCCUGAUGCAGCGGCGCCGCGUGCGGGAUGCCGGCCUUCGGGUUGUGAACCGCUUUCGCCUGUGACGCAGCGUGAGUGACGGUAAUGGGUAAAGAAGCACCGGCUAACUACGUG